GAUUUCUGGUUUGACAUGCCUGGCCCGCCGCUUUCCAGUGUGUGAGUGCCGGCGCGUGACUGCCAUCCUUCUGGAGACACGUGUCUACCCUUCACUGGGCCGGAUACGCGAUCCAGAUCAUUUACUUUGAAAAAAUUAGAGUGUUUAAAGCAGGCUUUUUGCUAUGAAUACAUUAGCAUGGAAUAAUAAUUUAGGACUUUGGUCCUAUUUUGUUGGUUUCUAGGACUGAAGUAAUGAUUGAUAGGGAUAGUUGGGGGUGCUCGAAUUCAGCGGCCAGAGGUGAAAUUCUUGGAUUCGCUGAAGACGAACUCAUGCGAAAGCAUU
Molecule: ribosomal RNA, 324 nt
Filed under: uncultured Kraken
Lineage: Eukaryota; Cercozoa
Description: SSU rRNA
Rfam family: Eukaryotic small subunit ribosomal RNA (bases 111-324)
Source: RNAcentral